This is a long non-coding RNA of Oryctolagus cuniculus (rabbit), 6101 nucleotides long. RefSeq lists it as uncharacterized. The record is from RefSeq and is a predicted model, not a curated record. Lineage: Eukaryota; Metazoa; Chordata; Mammalia; Lagomorpha; Leporidae.
GGUCCAAAAAAAAAACACAAAAAGCCGGUGGCAUUCUUCCCAGGCCUUGCCCCUCUUCCCAAGGUUUUCCUCCAAGGCUUUCUCAUUUCCGCCACUGCAUUUCUCUGCUUCUGAUUCUGGUCGGUUUGUCUUGGCCCGGGGCCAGUAGUUACAGGAUGCCCACAAGGAUUUGUUGCCUGCAUUUCCUCUCUUUAUUAAAUUACUACAGUUCUCCAAUGACCAGGACUACUGGACUUAUGGACAAACAGAUGGACUCUACAGCUACAUGAAAUGCUAAAGGUUGGAGAGGUCGUACUCUGAGACAGAAAGACGUGGCUCAUCUUGAUUCUCUCCACUGCAGUACCCAUGCAAACACAUCUGAGAACUGAGCUGGAUGAGCACACUAGGAGAUCUGGUAACAGGUACUAACAAGCAUUAUCAGGACUGACUGCAAUACAGGGACAAGUUAUGGCUAUUUAAAAAUACUUUGAUUCAUAUCUUGAUGAUUGAAUAUUCUGAGAACUGGAGGAACCAGAACUAUGAUGCCAGAAGCUCUUUGAGGCAAGGCUUGCUUACCAAUGGGCACACCAACAUCUUUCACCUUCUGCAUAUAUAGUAUUAAAAAGUGAACAAAAGAAAAAGUAGAAUUCAGAAAGAAAAGAAUGUAAUGAAGCAGGAGGACAGAAAUUCAAAGAAGGAAGAGAAACCUAAGGUCAACAGUCAAAAAGGACAGGGGGCAAGAAUGAUUAGAUAUCAAAAUUUAAAAUCCCCAAGCUAGGAAGAACCAAAGACUAAGUACUCUUGAAGUGAAAGGCGAUCUCUAUAGAACAUUAUUCUUACAGGUGUUAUCCAGGAAACAGAUAAGGGCAUUCAUCAGAUACAUGACUUCUAUUUUCCUUUAGCUGAGUAGUUACAAGAAAAACAGAUUCCAAUGUUUUCAUAAGUGGUAAAUAGAUAACAUCAUUGUAGGAAAAGGGGCUUUGUCAACUUAUGAGUACUGGCCCUUUCUGCAGCAUCAUAACUAAAAAUUUCAAUUUCAGGCUUUGGGUUUCCUCAGAGGAUGACACUGUAGACAUUAAUGGUCAUGGACUUUUGAGUGACAACAGCCCAAACCAAUCAAGUGUCUAUAAAUCCUGAACAGAAAGAAUAACUGUGAAUUACCAUUGACUUUGAACUAUAAAUGGUGUGGAUGUCUCACUUCAAGCUCCAGCAUCAUAAUACAACCUUCAUAACUUUCUUUACAAAUUUACAAGGGAAUUGUAUUUCAGUGACUAUUUUGAUAUCAGGUUAAAUUUUCCAAAAUGUUACACAUAAUUCAGGUCUUUUUUUCCUACCAGUAAGAGUUCUGCAGGCCGGCGCCGUGGCUCACUUGGCUAAUCCUCCACCUGCGGCGCCAGCACCCUGGGUUCUAGUCCCAGUUGCUCCUCUUCCAGUCCAGCUCUCUGCUGUGGCCCAGGAGGGCAGUGGAGAAUGGCCCAAGUGCUUGGGCCCUGCACCCGCAUGGGAGACUGGGAGGAAGCACCUGGCCCCUGGCUCCGGAUCGGCACAGCGCCGGCCAUGGUGGCCAUUAAGGGAGUGAACCAACGGAAGGAUGACCUUUCUCUCUGUCCCUCUCUCACUGUCUAUAACUCUCUCCCUCUCUCCCUCUCUCUUUCUCUCUCUCUCUCUCACACACACUGUCUAAUUCUGCCUGUCAAAAAAUAAAAAAAGAGUUCUGCUAAUUACAGAAACCCAUAAUUGCAGUGCUGUUUUUAAAAAAUUAAACACAGUAAUACUGCCAAUGUUAAUCAAAAUCAAAAUUUCAGAAUGCAGUGGCAUUCAUUUGACCAAGCUAAAUGUUAAAGUACGAGCUGUUUAUCCCAUUGACCAUUUUUGCUAGGUUGAGGCUGUGUAAAUCUAAUGUUGACAUAGUUGGGCCGGUGCCACGGCUCACUUGGUUCGUCCUCUGCCUGCGGUGCCCACAUCCCAUGUGGGUGCCAGGUUCUAGUCCCAGUUGCUCCUCUUCCAGUCCAGCUCUCUGCUGUGGCCCGGGAGGGCAGUGGAGGAUGGCCCAGGUGCUUGGGUCCCUGCACCUGCAUGGGAGACCAGGAGAAAGUGCCUGGCUCCUGGCUUUGGAUUGGCACAGCGCCGGCCAUGGCAGUCAUUUGGAGACAUAAACCAACAGAAGGAAGACCUUUCUCUUUGUCUCUGUCACUGUCUAUAACUCUACCUGUCAAAUAAAAAAAAAAAUUCUCUCUCUCUCUCGUUCUCCAGUUCUGCCCUUCAAAUAAAUAAAUCUUAAAAAAAGUUGAUAUAGUUUUUUUAUUUAAAUAUUUGUUUACGUAUUGAAAGAGUUACACAGAGAAAGAAGGACAGGCAGAGAGAGAGAGAGAGAGAGAGAGAGGUUUUCCAUCUACUGGUUCACUCCCCAAUUGGCUGCGACAGUCGGAGAUGCGCUGAUCCGAAGCCAGGAGCCAAGAAGUUUCUUUGGGGUCUCCCACACAGUUACAGGGGCCCAAGCACUUGGGCCAUCUUCUACUGCUUUCCUGGGCCACAGCAGAGAGCUGCAUUGAAAGUGGAGCAGUGGGUGCUAUUUAACAUAGUUCUGGAAGUUUUAGCCAGAGCCAUCAGACAAGAAAAAGAAAUUAAAGGAAUACAAAUUGAGAAGGAAGAAGCCAAACUAUCCCUCUUUGCAGACGAUAUGAUUCUUUACUUAGAGGAUCCAAAGAACUCUACUAAGAGACUAUUAGAACUCAUAGAGGAGUUUGGCAAAGUGGCAGGAUAUAAAAUCAAUGCACAAAAAUCAACAGCCUUUGUAUACACAAGCAAUGACAUGGCUGAGAAAAAACUGCUAAGAUCAAUCCCAUUCACAACAGCUACAAAAACAAUCAAAUACCUUGGAAUAAACUUAACCAAGGACGUUAAAGAUCUCUACAAUGAGAAUUACAAAAUCUUAAAGAAAGAAAUAGAAGAGGAUACCAAAAAAUGGAAAAAUCUUCCAUGCUCAUGGAUUGGAAGAAUCAACAUCAUCAAAAUGUCCAUUCUCCCAAAAGCAAUUUAUACAUUCAAUGCAAUCCCAAUCAAGAUACCAAAGACAUUCUUCUCAGAUCUAGAAAAAAUGAUGCUGAAAUUCAUAUGGAGGCACAAGAGACCUCGAAUAGCUAAAGAAAUCUUGUACAACAAAAACAAAGCUGGAGGCAUCACAAUACCAGAUUUCAGGACAUACUACAGGGCAGUUGUAAUCAAAACAGCAUGGUACUGGUACAGAAACAGAUGGAUAGACCAAUGGAACAGAAUAGAAACACCAGAAAUCAAUCCAAACAUCUACAGCCAACUUAUAUUUGAUCAAGGAUCUAAAACCAAUUCCUGGAGUCUAUUCAAUAAAUGGUGCUGAGAAAACUGGAUUUCCACGUGCAGAAUCAUGAAGCAAGACCCCUACCUUACACCUUACACAAAAAUCCACUCAACAUGGAUUAAAGACCUAAAUCUACGACCUGACACCAUCCAGUUAUUAGAGAACAUUGGAGAAACUCUGCAAGAUAUUGGCACAGGCAAAGAAUUUCUGGAAAAGACCCGGGAGGCACAGGCAGUCAAAGCCAAAAUCAACUAUUGGGAUUGCAUCAAAUUGAGAAGUUUCUGUACUGCAAAAGAAACAGUCAGGAGAGUGAAGAGACAACCGACAGAAUGGGAAAAAAUAUUUGCAAACUAUGCAACAGAUAAAGGGUUAAUAACCAGAAUCUACAAAGAAAUCAAGAAACUCCACAACAUCAAAACAAACAACCCACUUAAGAGAUGGGCCAAGGACCUCAAUAGACAUUUUUCAAAAGAGGAAAUCCAAAUGGCCAACAGGCACAUAAAAAAAUGUUCAAGGUCACUAGCAAUCAGGGAAAUGCAAAUCAAAACCACAAUGAGGUUUCACUUCACCCGGGUUAGAAUGGCUCACAUACACAAAUCUGCCAACAACAGAUGCUGGAGAGGAUGUGGGGAAAAAGGGACACUAACCCACUGUUGGUGGGAAUGCAAACUGGUCAAGCCACUAUGGAUGUCAGUCUGGAGAUUCCUCAGAAACCUGAAUAUAACCCUACUGUUCGACCCAGCCAUCCCACUCCUUGGAAUUUACCCAAAGGAAUUUAAAUUGGCAAACAAAAAAGCGGUCUGCACCCUAAUGUUUAUUGCAGCACAAUUCACAAUAGCCAAGACCUGGAACCAACCUAAAUGCCCAUCAACGGUAGAUUGGAUAAAGAAAUUAUGGGAUAUGUACUCUUUAGAAUACUAUACCGCAGUAAGAAACAAUGAAAUCCAGUCAUUUGCAACAAAAUGGAGGAAUCUGGAACACAUCAUGCUGAGUGAAAUAAGCCAUUCCCAAAGGGACAAAUAUCAUAUGUUCUCCCUGAUCGGUGACAACUGACUGAACACCAAAAAGGAAACCUGUUGAAGUGAAAUGGACACUAUGAGAAACGGUGACUUGAUCAGUAUAGCCCUGACUGUUAAUGAACAACUUAAUACAUUAUCCCUCUUAGUAGUUUUUUUUGUCUAUUCUAUUUAAUAUGACUGGUUUAAUUCUGUAAUUAAUACACAGUUAUUCUUAAGUGUUGAAAUUUAACUGAAAUGUGAUCCCUGUUAAACAUAAGAGUAGGAAUAAGAGAGGGAAGAGAUAUAUAAUUUGGGACAUGCUCAAGCUGACUUGCCCCAAAUGGUAGAGUUAGAAACAUACCAGGGGACUCCAAUUCAAUCCCAUCAGAGUGGCAUGUACCAAUGCCAUCUCACUAUUCCAAGUGAUCAAUUUCAGUUCACAAUUGAUCAUAAUGAAAGGACUAAGAGUCAAAGGGAGCACGUAAACAAGUCUAGUACCUGCUAAUACUAACCGAUAGAAUAAAUAAAGGGGAGAAUGAUCCAACAUGGGAUGCGAGAUACUCAGCAGACUCAUAGAAUGGCGGAUGUCCUAAACAGCACUCUGGCCUCAGAAUCAGCCCUAAAGGCAUUCGGAUCUGGCUGAAAAGCCCAUGAGAGUAUUUCAGGCAUGGAAAGCCAAGACACUCUGGCAAAAAAAAAAAAAAACCUAAACUAAAUGAAAGAUCUCUGUGAGUGAGAUUCCAGUGGAAAGAACAGGUCUUCAAAGAAGGAGGUACCUUUCUCUGAAGGGAGGAGAGAACCUCCACUUUGACUAUGACCUUGUCUAAACAAGAUAAGAGUCGGAGAACUCAAGGGGCUUCCAUAGCCUUGGAAACUCAUGACUGGAGCAUAGGGAGAUUACUGAUGCCAUAAACAGGAGUGUCAAUUUGUAAAGUCAACAAGAGGAGUCACUGUGCACUUACUCCUCAUGUAGGAUCUCUGUCCUUAAUGUCCUGUACAUUGUGAUUUAAUGCUAUAAGUAGUAGUCAAACAGUAUUUUUCACUUUGUGUUUCUAUGGGGGUGCAAACUGUUGAAAUCUUUACUUAAUGUAUACUAAACUGAUCUUCUGUAAAAAAAAAAAAAAAAAAAAAGAAGAAGAAGAAGAAAUUAUCAAUUCCCAACUUGACUCUCACUGGGAUUAAACAUGACAAUAGGUCUGAUCUGAUUUCAUCAUAAUUUAAAAAAUCAUCUAUUAUUUUUCACUUUAUGUUUGUGUGGGAGCAAACUGUUGAAAUCUUUACUUAAUGUAUGAUAAACUGAUCUUCUGUCUAUAAAGAGAAUCGAAAAUGAAUCUUGAUGUGAAUGGAAGGGGAGAGGGAGUGAGAAAGGGGAGGGUUGUAGGUGGGAGGGACGUUAUGGAGGGGGGAAGCCAUUGUAAUCCAUAAGCUGUACAUUGGAAAUUUAUAUUCAUUAAAUAAAAGUUAAAAAAAAAAAAGAAAGUGGAGCAGUGGGGACUUGAACUGGCACCCAAAUGGGAUGCCAGCACUGCGGGCAGCAGCUUUACCCACUAUACUACAGCACCUGCCCCAACAUAAUUUUUUUUAAUCACACAAAGGGAUAUAUGUGGUGGGUACAGAGUAACACUAAACAGAUCAGAAAGCAUGACAGACUUUAGUUCUCUCCCCCCCCCCCAGCAUCUUCUUCAUCUUCCUGUUUUUCUGAUGUCCACAGAAUGAAAUUAUCCCUUAAGCACCCUGCAUCAUCUGAGUGCUUUCUUCUUACUCUUGAUUCAUUGUAUCCAAUUCAGCAA